RNAcentral lists this transfer RNA (66 nucleotides) under Bruchinae sp. GENSP01. RNAcentral describes it as "tRNA-Trp". The record is from RNAcentral. Lineage: Eukaryota; Metazoa; Arthropoda; Insecta; Coleoptera; Chrysomelidae.
AAGGAUUUAAGUUAAGCUAAACUCUCAACCUUCAAAGUUGAUUAUAGGGAAAUUCCCUAAGCCUUA